RNAcentral lists this ribosomal RNA (808 nucleotides) under uncultured bacterium. RNAcentral's name for it is "bacterial SSU rRNA". It matches the Rfam family "Bacterial small subunit ribosomal RNA", at positions 60 to 874 of the family's 1533-position model. The record is from RNAcentral.
AGUCGAGGGGUAUAGUUCUUCGGAAUUAGAGACCGGCGCACGGGUGCGUAACGCGUAUGCAAUCUACCUUUUACAGAGGGAUAGCCCAGAGAAAUUUGGAUUAAUACCUCAUAGUAUUACGAAAUGGCAUCAUUUUGUAAUUAAAGUCACAACGGUAAAAGAUGAGCAUGCGUCCCAUUAGCUAGUUGGUAAGGUAACGGCUUACCAAGGCUACGAUGGGUAGGGGUCCUGAGAGGGAGAUCCCCCACACUGGUACUGAGACACGGACCAGACUCCUACGGGAGGCAGCAGUGAGGAAUAUUGGACAAUGGGCGCAAGCCUGAUCCAGCCAUGCCGCGUGCAGGAUGACGGUCCUAUGGAUUGUAAACUGCUUUUAUACGAGAAGAAACACUCCGACGUGUCGGAGCUUGACGGUAUCGUAAGAAUAAGGAUCGGCUAACUCCGUGCCAGCAGCCGCGGUAAUACGGAGGAUCCAAGCGUUAUCCGGAAUCAUUGGGUUUAAAGGGUCCGUAGGCGGUUUAAUAAGUCAGUGGUGAAAGCCCAUCGCUCAACGGUGGAACGGCCAUUGAUACUGUUAAACUUGAAUUAUUAGGAAGUAACUAGAAUAUGUAGUGUAGCGGUGAAAUGCUUAGAGAUUACAUGGAAUACCAAUUGCGAAGGCAGGUUACUACUAAUGGAUUGACGCUGAUGGACGAAAGCGUGGGUAGCGAACAGGAUUAGAUACCCUGGUAGUCCACGCCGUANACGAUGGAUACUAGCUGUUGGAAGCAAUUUCAGUGGCUAAGCGAAAGUGAUAAGUAUCCCACCU